CCGUACAGGACGGGGAGACAGCGGUGCCCUGUUGCCCGGAAUCCGCUCACCGGGGUCCAUGCUGAGCAUGCGGGGCGCACGUUUCCGAAACAGUCCCUGUUGAAGGCGUUGAAGGCUGCAAACCAUGCAAUGGGAAGCUCUGAACUCUGCCAGGUCCGGAAGGAAGCAACAGUACUGAGUAGAACAUGUGCCGUGGCCCGAUGCAACUGGAGCCGGAGACAGUCGACCACGCCGGAGGUCUGCGCAACAAGUGCUCAGCGUACGG
RNAcentral lists this signal recognition particle RNA (265 nucleotides) under Candidatus Cryosericum hinesii. RNAcentral's name for it is "signal recognition particle sRNA large type". It matches the Rfam family "Bacterial large signal recognition particle RNA". From Rfam's summary of the family: The signal recognition particle (SRP) is a universally conserved ribonucleoprotein involved in the co-translational targeting of proteins to membranes. Archaeal SRP consists of a 7S RNA and homologues of the eukaryotic SRP19 and SRP54 proteins. In most bacteria, the SRP consists of a 4.5S RNA and the Ffh protein (a homologue of the eukaryotic SRP54 protein). The record is from RNAcentral. Lineage: Bacteria; Pseudomonadati; Candidatus Cryosericota; Candidatus Cryosericia; Candidatus Cryosericales; Candidatus Cryosericaceae.